This is a long non-coding RNA of Zea mays, 1163 nucleotides long. RefSeq lists it as uncharacterized. The transcript is spliced from 3 exons. The record is from RefSeq and is a predicted model, not a curated record. Lineage: Eukaryota; Viridiplantae; Streptophyta; Magnoliopsida; Poales; Poaceae.
GCACCUCACCUCCGCCUCCAAUCACGGCCGCCAGGAAUGCGCAGAAAGCUGCCCGCCAAGCGCCCAACUCGCCUCCAAUCACGGCCGCAAGCCAUGCCCCGCCUCGAUUCCUUACUCUCCAAUCCUGCCCUCCAAUCCCAGCCGCCAUCAGCGCCCUCCGUCAACUCCUACCAAAAUCGAGCCCUAGCCGUCAUCAGCGCCCUAGCCGCUACAUGCCAUGCGCUGCUUCGCCGCCAGUGCUCCAAAUCUCGGCCGUCAUCAGCGCCUCCCCAAUUGGAGGAGCUCAGCAUCAGCCACGGCCCCACCGCCUGGCCCCCAUCCACCCCCCGAAUUGGCAAGAACACGAUCUCAGCAGUACGUAUCUCCCCCACACCUCGCCCUCCAUCCACAUCCCCAAAUGGCGUGCCUUCCUGGAAUUAUAAGUCCGAAGGGAGGCCACACACGAGACCACCAAGCGGACACACGCGAGUACAUCCGACGCCCACCAUCAGCCAAGUGAUGGUCGAUUACGAGUUCAUCCUGCGCAAUUCUUUCUCUGUGUUCAGUAUGUUGUUCUUUUUGCUAUACAUGUGACUUUCGAAAGUCCUUGCAGGAGCCUACUUCUCAGUCGACAACUGGGUCGUCCUGCACUCCCGGCGUCGAGCCACCGCGGUGAAGACAAUUACCUACCCUCUGCAAUCCAACUAUAUAUAGAGAUCGACGUCAAAAGGAACCUAAGGCUUUGUAUUCAACAGGACCUUUACAAACGACUAACUUAAAUCGGCGAGAGUAGAGAAUAAGGCAAGGAUCUUCGAGCAGAAUGCCACUGAUAGUGAGUGCAAGGUCGAUCCUAAAGUGCUCUCCAAGCUAUAUGAUCCGUGGGUGAUGCCACAUACCAAGGAUGUCGAAGUUGAGUACCUCCUGCGCUGCCUUGACUAAUCACCGAUUAGCUGUAGCUGUAAAUUUUAUGUAUGCAUGGUUUCAGUUGUGCUCGAACCAAUUGUCUUGACCUUGAAUGGACAUUUUGAUGUUUAUUUCAUCUGAUGCGUCAUGUUUCAUGACGUAGACUUUCAUUUCUUGUGAUUGAUUUAUAGUGAACCUGUAAGAUGUAAAAUGACUUUUAUGACAAAACCAGCUGCAAGAACAGAGUAUUCUGAGAAACCUUUGUUGAAGUAAAUGUAAUU